AUUGAACGCUGGCGGCAUGCUUUACACAUGCAAGUCGAACGGUAACAGGCCUUCGGGUGCUGACGAGUGGCGAACGGGUGAGUAAUGCAUCGGAACGUGCCCAAUCGUGGGGGAUAACGUAGCGAAAGUUACGCUAAUACCGCAUAAGCCCUGAGGGGGAAAGUGGGGGACCGCAAGGCCUCACGCGAAUGGAGCGGCCGAUGUCAGAUUAGCUAGUUGGUGGGGUAAAGGCUCACCAAGGCGACGAUCUGUAGCGGGUCUGAGAGGAUGAUCCGCCACACUGGGACUGAGACACGGCCCAGACUCCUACGGGAGGCAGCAGUGGGGAAUUUUGGACAAUGGGCGCAAGCCUGAUCCAGCCAUGCCGCGUGCGGGACGAAGGCCUCGGUUGUAACG
Molecule: ribosomal RNA, 396 nt
Filed under: uncultured bacterium
Lineage: Bacteria
Description: bacterial SSU rRNA
Rfam family: Bacterial small subunit ribosomal RNA
Source: RNAcentral